Molecule: ribosomal RNA, 753 nt
Filed under: uncultured bacterium
Lineage: Bacteria
Description: bacterial SSU rRNA
Rfam family: Bacterial small subunit ribosomal RNA
Source: RNAcentral
GGUUGUCGCAGACACAACUGGCAGACGGGUGAGUAACGCGUAGGAAUCUACCCCUAGGAGGACCAUAGCCGUCCGAAAGGAUGGGUAAUAGUCCAUAGUCAAUUUAUUGUAAAGGAGUUAACGCUCCGCCAAGGGAUGAGCCUGCGUCCUAUCAGCUUGUUGGUGAGGUAAAAGCUUACCAAGGCGAUGACGGGUAGCUGGACUGAGAGGUCGAUCAGCCACAACUGCACUGAGAUACGGGCAGUACAUCUACGGAUGGCAGCAACUAGGAAUAUUGGACAAUGGACGAAAGUCUGAUCCAGCGACGCCGCGUGAAGGAAGAAGGCCCUCGGGUUGUAAACUUCUUUUGAUAGUCCUUUCACGGACUAUAGAAUAAGCACCUACUAACUACGUGCCAGAAGUCUCGGUAAUACGUAGGGUGCAAGCGUUAUCCGGAUUCAUUGGGCGUAAAGUGUGCGUAGGCUCAUUAAAUAGUCGUACCUUAAAUACUAAGGCUUACCCUUGGGACUGGGUACGAUACUUUUAAUGUUGAGGAUUGUCAGGGGUACUGGAACAGUUAAUGUAGCAGUGAAAUGCGUUGAUAUUAACUGGAACACCGAUGGCGAAGGCAAGUACCUGGGAUUUUCCUGACGCUGAGGCACGAAAGCUAGGGUAGCGAAACAGAUUAGAUACCUGUGUAGUCCUAGCCGUAAACGAUGUCCGCUAGCUUUUUCCGACUUGUCGGAAGAGGUGUAAGCUAACGCGUUAAGCGGA